Molecule: ribosomal RNA, 484 nt
Filed under: uncultured bacterium
Lineage: Bacteria
Description: partial 16S ribosomal RNA
Rfam family: Bacterial small subunit ribosomal RNA
Source: RNAcentral
AGUGAACGCUGGCGGCAGGCCUAACACAUGCAAGUCGAGCGGCAGCGCGGGGGCAACCCUGGCGGCGAGCGGCGGACGGGUGAGGAAUUCGUCGGAAUCUGCCUUUUUGUGGGGGAUAACGUAGGGAAACUUACGCUAAUACCGCAUACGUCCUACGGGAGAAAGUGGGGGACCGCAAGGCCUCACGCAGAAAGAUGAGCCGACGACCGAUUAGCUAGUUGGUGGGGUAAAGGCACACCAAGGGGACGAUCGGUAGGUGGUCUGAGAGGAUGAUCAGCCACACUGGGACUGAGACACGGCCCAGACUCCUACAGGAGGCAGCAGUGGGGAAUAUUGGACAAUGGGCGCAAGCCUGAUCCAGCCAUGCCGCGUGUGUGAAGAAGGCCUUCGGGUUGUAAAGCACUUUUGUCCGGAAAGAAAUCCCUGGAGCUAAUACCUUCGGGGGAUGACGGUACCGGAAGAAUAAGCACCGGCUAACUUCGUG